ACGGCUUUGCCUCCUCCACCACCAUUGACGUCAGGGACGCUGCAGGUUCCAGGACAUCCAGCUGGUAGCACUUACUCAGAACAAGAUCUUCUUCGUCAGGAACUAAACACACGCUUCUUGGCCUCCCAGAGCGCAGACCGCGGCGCGUCCCUCGGCCCACCGCCCUACCUGAGGA
Long non-coding RNA from Nothoprocta perdicaria, 175 nucleotides. RefSeq lists it as uncharacterized. The transcript is spliced from 2 exons. The record is from RefSeq and is a predicted model, not a curated record. NCBI's taxonomy places the organism in Eukaryota, Metazoa, Chordata, Aves, Tinamiformes, Tinamidae.